RNAcentral lists this unclassified non-coding RNA (1359 nucleotides) under uncultured Neocallimastigales. RNAcentral describes it as "partial contains small subunit ribosomal RNA, internal transcribed spacer 1, 5.8S ribosomal RNA, internal transcribed spacer 2, and large subunit ribosomal RNA". The stretch from base 614 to 1359 matches the Rfam family "Eukaryotic large subunit ribosomal RNA", at positions 1 to 630 of the family's 3401-position model. The record is from RNAcentral. Lineage: Eukaryota; Fungi; Neocallimastigomycota; Neocallimastigomycetes; Neocallimastigales.
UGGAAGUAAAAGUCGUAACAAGUUCCGUAGGUGAACCUGCGGAAGGAUCAUUAAUAAAUGGCUCCGCGUUAGGAGCACUUAAUAAUCCUACCCUUGUGAAUUGUUGUUGAAUAAUUUUUUUUAAAAUUAUUGAAUGUCUUCCCUGUUGAUUAGAGUGUUUCGGACACAAAGAUUCGCAGGGGAUAGUCAAUAAUUUUAAAAAGACCUUUUUUAAAUUAAACUUUUGUAUUCAUUUGUCUAAAUUAUUUUAUAAUAUAAAACAACUUUUGACAAUGGAUCUCUUGGUUCUCGCAACGAUGAAGAACGCAGCAAAAUGCGAUAAGUAGUGUGAAUUGCAGAAUACGUGAAUCAUCGAAUCUUCGAACGCAUAUUGCACUUUUUUAGUUUACUAAAAAAGUAUGUCUGUUUGAGUAUCAGUAAAUAUUCUCAUAAAACAUUGUUUUAUGGUUAUGAGUGUUUUACAACGAUACAAGUUGUUUCACUUUAAAUUUUUUAAAUUUGAUUUUUCUAAUUUUAAAAUAAAAUUGGAUAAAAUUUUCCCGUAAAAAGGAAUAACCUAAACAAUUUAAUUUAAAUUAGAACCUUCAAAAAAAAAGGAAUUUAAUAAAUAACUUGAUCUCAAAUCAGAUAAGAGUACCCGCUGAACUUAGCAUAUCAAUAAGCGGAGGAAAGAAACUAACAAGGAUUCCCUUAGUAACGGCGAGUGAAGCGGGAAGAGCUCAAAUUGAAAUCUUCAAGGUUUUACCUUGACGAAUUGUAGUUUAAAGAAGUGUUUUCUGUUGAAGUUUGGUAAAAGUUCUUGGAAUAGGACAUCAUAGAGGGUGAGAAUCCCGUAUUUGACCAUUAUUUUCAGCUGUGUGAUACACUUUCAAAGAGUCGGAUUGUUUGGAAUGCGUCCAAAAUGGGUGGUAAAUUUCAUCUAAAGCUAAUAUGGCGAGAGACCGAUAGCGAACAAGUACCGUGAGGGAAAGAUGAAAGAACUUUGAAAGAGAGUUAAACAGUACGUGAAAUUGUCAAAGGGAAGCGUUGACACAGUGUUGUUUCUCGAAAUCAUUAAAAGAGUUGGAUUUGUGUGUAUUGACCUUAACAGCUUCUUCACUCUUUUCCUGCUUUUUUAAUGCACUUUCGUUAACAAGUCAACAUCAGUUUCUUUUGUUGUAAAAGGGUCAUUGGAAGGUGGCUUUCUUUUCGGAGAAAGUGUUAUAGCCUUGAUCCUGCAUCGGAGAGACUGAGGUCUGCAGCGUAGAUCCUCGGGGUUAGAUACAUUUGUGCUAAGUUAUAGCUUUCAUAGACAACUUGUGACUAUGUCAGUCAUGUAGCUUACUCGCUUUGCUAUUUACCUACGCUUAGGAUGUUGAC